UAUUAUGUGAUAACAUUUACUAGAAUAAAACAAAAUUAGAUGUGGUGCUGACUUUUGAUUAAUAAGGCACUUUUGAUGCAUAAAAAAUACAAUAGGCAAAUUUUGUUAGAGUCUUGUUAAUUAGGAAUCUUGUUGAUAACUUCAAAGAAAGUAAUGUAAUGCGAACGAAAAUCGGGGAAUAAUUCCUACUGUUAAAAAUAAUUACAUAAAAUCGUUAGUCAUGCAUUUAUAUAAACAAACGGGAUUUGUUUGCAAAUCAAAUGCUAAUACAUCACGACAGAAUUGUGAUUCAACCGAAAUGCACAUGAUGAUAGAUAGAUUAGAAGACUUGAUUAUAAACUAUGGAUCUAGCUAUUGGAGAUUGAAAAAUAAUCAAUUUGUUGAUUUCAUUAAUCGUUAUUGUGUUUAUCCAACAACAUGUAGUAUUUUAAGAAUGCAGUUGCUUUGGAGGUUUGUGGUAAUGAUAGAGUAUUUCAAAAAUAUUAGAGGGAAUCAUUGCUCUUCCUAUGCUUCUGAUACAAUACCAAAAUUGAUAACAGGAUACAAGUUCAAAAAAAAACAUUGGUCCGAAGGGUUUACUCGCUAUAAUAGCAAUCCAGAUAGAUUGUCCAGAUCUCCAGAUCCAGAUCGACCAAUCCCAAUUUCAACCCAUUCCAGAUGGAGCUAGGCUAAUUGCUAUGAUAGCUGCUAGGAUGAAAGGACGUCCAAUUUGACAGCCUACUGACCGAUUUUGGUACCUGGUUUAGAGCAAAUUAGCGAUAAGUUCGGUUAAGGUCUUGAAGUAGGGUUGAAUAAGGUCAACGCAAACAGCUGGUAAAAAUUAGGCUCCAUCGAGGAUAGUAGCCAAAGCAAUUAGAAGAAGACAGGCAUAUGAUUGGACAAAUGGGCAAAAUUAUCUACGCGAGCGAAGGUUAAAGUAAUCGAAAUGAAGUCACUAACAGAUUGAUACACACGGACAACACAGAGUAACAAGCUGAUCAUGAAGAUUAUUAAAAUAGGAUGGGAAAUUAAUUUUUAAAUGCUUAACAAUUAAAAAAAGAGAUCAUAAUGACUACUUAAGGUAGUUGCAAUCUUACAUCGCAAAAAAGGGAAAUGAAAAUUCAUUACGGACAAAAUGAAACAUAAGGUUAAAAAAAAGAAGAAAGAAGAAAAUUUAAGAGCAUAUACAAUAACAUGUUUGAUAUUUUGCCACACCUUCCAGUACGUGUAGAUAGCAAAAGUUGGUGCAGGAAAAAUCAUUCCUUCAUGGAAUAAAGAGUAACUGACAAACAUUUUGGACGAGUCCCAGGUCAGUAGAUUAUACGUGAGAUAAAAAAAAAGAAUUCAAGUUUGUAAAACCAGCCCGUAAGACCAGCCCGUAAGACCAGCUAAGAUGAUAUCUGAAAGAUAAUGUCCAUAAUAAUGUAAUGAAAGAUUAUGUAAUGUCUAUUGAUCAUGGUGAGACUGACAAAAGCUAAAAUGCAUCGGAAUGAGUUAGGAAAAUAGGGAAGAGUAAAGUUAACAAGAAGUAUAGAUACAAAAGAUAGUUCGAAGAAGCGACGUAUUGUAGGAAUUGUGAUAAAUAGAAGAAGUAAAUAAGACAAGAAUCAAACAUUACUGCAAAUAUGUAGAAUAUACGUAAUUUAUGUCAAAUAGGCUUUGAGAUGUUGAAAUAAGUAAGCGUUGGAAUAGGAAUCUACCUUGCAAAAAAAAAAAAGUCAGACAUGAGUCAUCGAUGAGGAGAGUUAUAAAUGUAGAUGUGUUUGAAGUGUUAAGAAUGAAGUCAAGCAAAGAAAGCGAGAAGGAAGAUGACACGGAAUUUAUAGGAGCAAUGCAGAAGCAAGUGACACCGGGUAGAAUUGAACCAACGAAGGAUGUUGAAGCGGUUGAGCGCAGAUAUCAAAGAAAAAUCAGCUGUAGUGACAGUUACAUGUAUCGGAUAAGUAUUGAGUUUGGGAAUGUUAAAUGAAAAAUGAAAUUAUUUUGAAAAAUAAUGUUUUUUUUGCAGCUUAUCUUUAGCGUAAUGCACAGGACUGUACCCUGAAUCAUGAUGCAGAGAAGUCCUUCGAGGUAGCCGAGACACGGAAAUGUACUACACGCAAUAGGAUUUCAGAACACGGAGAGAUGGAGCACAUAUAUGAUACAACCAUCAAGUUACUAAUGCUAUGAAGGAAGUGGAAGAAUAGAAGAUCGAGAUGUAGAUGUACAAAAAAAAAUCAUUUGCAGGAAACCACGACAGAGUAGUCAGAAUCAUGAAGUAUUAUGACAAUUAAAAAGUUAGACCAUGCAAAUUUGGUUUUUGUUAGGAUUUAAGGAUUAGACGUAGAUGUAUAUACAAUCGAUAUUGUAAACCGUGAAUUGUUUGCUUUAAGUUGAAAACCAUAGAAAAUCUGUAUAACAGAAUAUAAGAGAGGCUUUUUUUUCACUGUUUUUCUUGGAGGAGGAAAGGGAUUGUAGAAUGCAAUAGCAGUGACAGAGAGGGACAGCAUGUACAAGUAGGGAGAAUAGGUUGACAGUUGUUAUUGAACCACCGCCGAAGACGGGCGAAUAAAUAUUACACCGAACCAGAACUCUACAGAAAUAAACUGUAUUUACGUUAUUGUGUUAUACUUGCUGUUUAAGCAAUACGCUUGCUGUAAAUUUGAAUUCGGUAAACAAGUGACUUCAAGAUAUUCUAUUGUCCAUGCCCAAUCCCACCCAACUUGCCCCACCAGGGAUUUGCGAGUCUACGCCAGGGAACUGCGUUCAGUCCGAGAGUCCGGCAGUGAUCCAAAAUACCAAAAAGGAUCCCACGUCCGGAAUUAUGUGUUGUGCUCACUUGAGUUGA
Anopheles merus is the source of this 2806-nucleotide long non-coding RNA. RefSeq lists it as uncharacterized. The record is from RefSeq and is a predicted model, not a curated record. The transcript is spliced from 3 exons. NCBI's taxonomy places the organism in Eukaryota, Metazoa, Arthropoda, Insecta, Diptera, Culicidae.